CUCUAGCAUUUCCAGUAUUAGAGGCACUGCCUGCCCAGUGACAUUAGUUAAACGGCCGCGGUAUCCUGACCGUGCAAAGGUAGCAUAAUCAUUUGUUCCUUAAAUAGGGACUUGUAUGAAUGGCCACACGAGGGCUUUACUGUCUCUUACUUCCAAUCCGUGAAAUUGACCUUCCCGUGAAGAGGCGGGAAUACGACAAUAAGACGAGAAGACCCUGUGGAGCUUUAAUUAAUCGACCCAAAGAGACCUUAAUAACCAACCGACAGGAACAACAGACCUCUGCCAUGGGCCGACAAUUUAGGUUGGGGUGACCUCGGAGAAUAAAACAACCUCCGAGUGAUUUAAAUCUAGACUAACCAGUCGAAAGUAUUACAUCACUUAUUGAUCCNAAAGCUUGAUCAACGGAACAAGUUACCCCAGGGAUAACAGCGCAAUCCUAUUUC
Molecule: ribosomal RNA, 443 nt
Filed under: Panthera tigris (tiger)
Lineage: Eukaryota; Metazoa; Chordata; Mammalia; Carnivora; Felidae
Description: partial 16S ribosomal RNA
Rfam family: Bacterial large subunit ribosomal RNA
Source: RNAcentral